UAGGGAAUCUUCGGCAAUGGACGAAAGUCUGACCGAGCAACGCCGCGUGAGUGAAGAAGGUUUUCGGAUCGUAAAACUCUGUUGUUAGAGAAGAACAAGGACGUUAGUAACUGAACGUCCCCUGACGGUAUCUAACCAGAAAGCCACGGCUAACUACGUGCCAGCAGCCGCGGUAAUACGUAGGUGGCAAGCGUUGUCCGGAUUUAUUGGGCGUAAAGCGAGCGCAGGCGGUGUCUUAAGUCUGAUGUGAAAGCCCCCGGCUCAACCGGGGAGGGUCAUUGGAAACUGGGAGACUUGAGUGCAGAAGAGGGGAGUGGAAUUCCAUGUGUAGCGGUGAAAUGCGUAGAUAUAUGGAGGAACACCAGUGGCGAAGGCGGCUCGCUGGUCUGUAACUGACGCUGAGGCUCGAAAGCGUGGGGAGCAAACAGG
This 429-nucleotide ribosomal RNA is filed under the name Gemmatimonadota bacterium. RNAcentral describes it as "Gemmatimonadetes bacterium partial 16S ribosomal RNA". It matches the Rfam family "Bacterial small subunit ribosomal RNA", at positions 355 to 776 of the family's 1533-position model. The record is from RNAcentral. Lineage: Bacteria; Pseudomonadati; Gemmatimonadota.